RNAcentral lists this ribosomal RNA (263 nucleotides) under uncultured bacterium. RNAcentral describes it as "partial 16S ribosomal RNA". It matches the Rfam family "Bacterial small subunit ribosomal RNA", at positions 793 to 1055 of the family's 1533-position model. The record is from RNAcentral.
GUCCACGCCGUAAACUAUGAGAGCUAGACGUCGGGCGGCUUGCCGUUCGGUGUCGCAGCUAACGCAUUAAGCUCUCCGCCUGGGGAGUACGGCCGCAAGGUUAAAACUCAAAGGAAUUGACGGGGCCCGCACAAGCGGUGGAGCAUGUGGUUUAAUUCGAAGCAACGCGAAGAACCUUACCAGGCCUUGACAUCCCUCCGCCAUCGCUAGAGAUAGUGAGUUCCCUUUGGGGACGGAGGAGACAGGUGGUGCAUGGUUGUCGU